AUCCAGCUGACGAGUCCCAAAUAGAACGAAACGCGUGUUCCGGAU
This 45-nucleotide non-coding RNA is filed under the name Schistosoma mansoni. Lineage: Eukaryota; Metazoa; Platyhelminthes; Trematoda; Strigeidida; Schistosomatidae. The record is from RNAcentral.